RNAcentral lists this unclassified non-coding RNA (1571 nucleotides) under Hevea brasiliensis (rubber tree). Lineage: Eukaryota; Viridiplantae; Streptophyta; Magnoliopsida; Malpighiales; Euphorbiaceae. The record is from RNAcentral.
GUAGAAAACACCUUAUUCGGCUUAUCCAAAUGGAAGGCUGAAUGCAGAUAAGCAUAAAAAAAAACAAGCGUUCGAAAAAAGAAAGCAAAAUGUCUCUGCUGCUCUUCUCUAAUCCUCUCCCCUCUUUUUCCCCUCUUUCUUCGUCAUCAUGUUCAUCUUCCAUCAUCCUCACAGCUGCUCCUGUAUCUAGGUUGCAUUUCAAACCCAUUGAUCUGCACCCAAAAUCUUUGAAUAGAUUUCAAUUUCAGAUUCCUAUUCUCCGAAGCAAAUGGGAUGUAGUGCUUGUGAAUGCUUCUUCUGACAUUGAUGGAAUGGAUCCAACAGACAAUAGCGAGCCCUCUACAGAAAGCAAAGAGGAGAUUAUUCCAGUUGACAAGCUACCAUUAGAGUCGAAGCUUCAGGAGAGGAUGGAACAGAAGAUGAAGAUGAAACUGGCCAAGAAGAUUAGGCUUCGUAGAAAGAGGCUUCUUCGGAAAAGGAGAAUGAGAAAGAAGGGUAGAUGGCCUCCUUCCAGGAUGAAGAAGUUAAAGAACGUCUGAUUUUUGCCUCAAGUUUUCUUGCAGGUUCUAAUCUGUUGCUGACCCUUUGCUUCUCAUCCACUGCCAAAGUCUUCUAGCAAGUUUGAAUGUGUUUUUUAAUGUUAAUUUGUUUUACUGUUUAUCUGAAACAUAAGAUCAUGAAGAUUACGUCCAAUUAUUUCUGAAUUUGAAUUUUAAAAGGUAUAAGAAUUGCAUUUCUUCGUCUGGUUGAUAUGUUAUCAGUGCCUGAUUUAUUGAUCCUAGUGAUUUAUUACAUUUUUGCCCAUUUGACCGUGUUGCAAUUAUUCUUUAAGGUCCUAAGUGAACAAGAAUUGGCGUAGUCACCAAAUGUUAAUAUUUUAGUUCUAACUUGUUUACCUGAUAUUUAAUUAAUUGAAAUCCUCCGGACACAUUUGUCUCAUGAUGAAGAUACAAAAACAUAAAAACACGAUCUAAAAUGCUUUAUUGUGUUGACAGGCGAUUAGGAGUACUUUUAGUUUAUCACUGAGUGUGAGAUAGCAGAGUUUCAGCGUGAGACUCAAAUCAAAGCUCUGAAUUUGUUGCUCCUUGAUGCUGUGAAUUUAAUAGGAGAUGAAAAUCCUCAUUUUCUGUUAGUCAAGAUUUGAGGACAAGUCUUUUAAUGGCUUGGUGAGAAUUUUAUAUGGCUUCAGUAGUUAGCUGGUGAAAUAAGGUAGGGCAAGGCAGACCUGGGCAAGCGCCAGCUCAAAACUUGAAUUGGACCAGAACAAGACCGAUUUAAACUGGACCAUAACCGAACCAGUUAAACCCAUUUUUGACUUGAACUGAAAUUGAAUUGGAAAAUUCCAGGCCGAACUGUCUUUUUUUAUUUAAAAAAAAAUCCAAAAAAAUUGGACCAUUGAAUUUGAACCAAAUCGAACCCGAUCUAGGACCUGAACUAGAUUGAAACCUUGGAGGGUUCAUGGUUUUGAUUCUAGUUCACCCUUUAGAUGAACAAAAACUGGUGGUUCUGGGCCGCUUAAAACUAGAACCGGAUUGGUGGCUGGGCUUUGGGCUAGGCAUAUGUGGUUUGCA